This 442-nucleotide unclassified non-coding RNA is filed under the name Hevea brasiliensis (rubber tree). Lineage: Eukaryota; Viridiplantae; Streptophyta; Magnoliopsida; Malpighiales; Euphorbiaceae. The record is from RNAcentral.
CAGGUUAGCAGUAUAAUUUGCUAUCAUAUCUUCUUCAAGAUCAUCACCAACUUCAUAAAGAAGGGUUACUCCAUGCAUAAUUAUUGGGGAGUUCAUGCCAAGCUCGGCUUUAACUAUCUUCUCGACAAAAUCCCGCAGCUUUGAAUGAUGAGUAUUAAUCUCCAGUGAUAGCGGUGACUUAGAACAAACACAGCAUGAUUUGUUAGGCUCAAAGGGUUCCACUGGCAUAAGAAGCAUCUUUUUUGAUGGAUGUUCUAAACAAUAUGUCAUCCUGUAAUUGUCAAUAUCCUUUUUCAACACCUUGAUUGCUUCAAUGACAAUUAAACCAGCUACAACAGCAUUAGUUGUUGCCACAGCAUGCACAAUAUUACCUGCAAUACCUUUAGCUUCAAAAAGGCUAUGCAAAGGAAUCCCAAAUGAAGCAGCUCGAAUAUUUGCAGCA